AACGAACGCUGGCGGCAUGCCUAACACAUGCAAGUCGAACGAGACCUUCGGGUCUAGUGGCGCACGGGUGCGUAGCGCGUGGGAACCUGCCCUUAGGUUCGGAAUAACUCCCCGAAAGGGGUGCUAAUACCGGAUAAUGUCUUCGGACCAAAGAUUUAUCGCCUUUGGAUGGGCCCGCGUUGGAUUAGCUAGUUGGUAGGGUAAAAGCCUACCAAGGCGACGAUCCAUAGCUGGUCUGAGAGGAUGCUCAGCCACACUGGGACUGCGACACGGCCCAGACUCCUACGGGAGGCAGCAGUGGGGAAUAUUGGACAAUGGGCGCAAGCCUGAUCCAGCCAUGCCGCGUGAGUGAUGAAGGCCUUAGGGUUGUAAAGCUCUUUUACCCGGGAUGAUAAUGACAGUACCGGGAGAAUAAGCUCCGGCUAACUCCGUG
This 433-nucleotide ribosomal RNA is filed under the name uncultured bacterium. RNAcentral's name for it is "partial 16S ribosomal RNA". It matches the Rfam family "Bacterial small subunit ribosomal RNA", at positions 29 to 507 of the family's 1533-position model. The record is from RNAcentral.